RNAcentral lists this ribosomal RNA (640 nucleotides) under uncultured bacterium. RNAcentral's name for it is "bacterial SSU rRNA". It matches the Rfam family "Bacterial small subunit ribosomal RNA", at positions 48 to 684 of the family's 1533-position model. The record is from RNAcentral.
CUAACACAUGCAAGUCGAGCGGUAACAGAUCCAGCUUGCUGGAUGCUGACGAGCGGCGGACGGGUGAGUAAUGCAUAGGAAUCUGCCCGAUAGUGGGGGAUAACCUGGGGAAACCCAGGCUAAUACCGCAUACGUCCUACGGGAGAAAGGGGGCUCCGGCUCCCGCUAUGGGAUGAGCCUAUGUCGGAUUAGCUAGUUGGUGAGGUAACGGCUCACCAAGGCCACGAUCCGUAGCUGGUCUGAGAGGAUGAUCAGCCACAUCGGGACUGAGACACGGCCCGAACUCCUACGGGAGGCAGCAGUGGGGAAUAUUGGACAAUGGGGGCAACCCUGAUCCAGCCAUGCCGCGUGUGUGAAGAAGGCCCUCGGGUUGUAAAGCACUUUCAGCGAGGAAGAACGCCUAGCGGUUAAUACCCGCUAGGAAAGACAUCACUCGCAGAAGAAGCACCGGCUAACUCCGUGCCAGCAGCCGCGGUAAUACGGAGGGUGCAAGCGUUAAUCGGAAUUACUGGGCCGUAAAGCGCGCGUAGGUGGCUUGAUAAGCCGGUUGUGAAAGCCCCGGGCUCAACCUGGGAACGGCAUCCGGAACUGUCAAGCUAGAGUGCAGGAGAGGAAGGUAGAAUUCCCGGUGUAGCGGUGA